Molecule: unclassified non-coding RNA, 272 nt
Filed under: Hevea brasiliensis (rubber tree)
Lineage: Eukaryota; Viridiplantae; Streptophyta; Magnoliopsida; Malpighiales; Euphorbiaceae
Source: RNAcentral
CGGUGCGCCUGCAGGUAACUCAGUACGGCUCUGAAACCCUAGAUCUCCGUCGCCGGCCGGGAUUCGAAGACGCUGCUAGAGAAUAAUACACUGAAGCUGGUGAAAUGGCUGACAACAGUAAGUCAACCGAGAACCAUAACCAAAGUUCUGAUGAUAAUUUAGCUCCAGAGAAUGGUAAUGAGGCCAUUGAUUCCUUGGCACGAAAGGUCCAAGAAUCUCUGUCGCUUGCAAAGAGACAUAAGUUCUGGGAGACCCAACCAGUGAGACAGUUG